RNAcentral lists this ribosomal RNA (274 nucleotides) under uncultured bacterium. Its description in RNAcentral is "partial 16S ribosomal RNA". It matches the Rfam family "Bacterial small subunit ribosomal RNA", at positions 523 to 796 of the family's 1533-position model. The record is from RNAcentral.
AUACGGGGGGUGCAAGCGUUAUUCGGAUUUAUUGGGCGUAAAGGGCGCGUAGGCGGCUUGGAAAGUCAGAUGUGAAAGCCCGGGGCUCAACCCCGGAAGUGCAUUUGAAACUAUCAGGCUUGAGUAUGGGAGGGGGAAGUGGAAUUCCUGGUGUAGAGGUGAAAUUCGUAGAUAUCAGGAGGAACACCGGUGGCGAAGGCGACUUCCUGGACCAAUACUGACGCUGAGGCGCGAAGGCGUGGGGAGCAAACAGGAGUAGAAACCCCUGUAGUCC